GCCGGGGUGGCCGAGCUAGGUCCAAGGCGCGGGCCUGGAGAGUCCGUCCCCGCAAGGGGGCCCGGGUUCAAAUCCCGGCCCCGGCACCA
RNAcentral lists this transfer RNA (89 nucleotides) under Vulcanisaeta moutnovskia 768-28. RNAcentral's name for it is "tRNA-Ser (GGA) (tRNA-Ser-GGA-1-1)". It matches the Rfam family "tRNA". Rfam says of the family: Transfer RNA (tRNA) molecules are approximately 80 nucleotides in length. Their secondary structure includes four short double-helical elements and three loops (D, anti-codon, and T loops). Lineage: Archaea; Thermoproteati; Thermoproteota; Thermoprotei; Thermoproteales; Thermoproteaceae. The record is from RNAcentral. RNAcentral also lists the same sequence under 1 other name.